CCUACGGGUUGCAGCAGUGGGGAAUUUUCCGCAAUGGGCGAAAGCCUGACGGAACAAUGCCGCGUGGAGGUAGAAGGCCCACGGGUCGUGAACUUCUUUUCCCGGAGAAGAAGCAAUGACGGUAUCUGGGGAAUAAGCAUCGGCUAACUCCGUGCCAGCAGCCGCGGUAAUACGAAGGGGGCUAGCGUUGUUCGGAAUUACUGGGCGUAAAGCGCGCGUAGGCGGAUAGAUAAAUCAGAGGUGAAAUCCCGGGGCUCAACCCCGGAAUUGCCUUUGAUACUGUUAUCUUGAGUGCAGAAGAGGUAAGUGGAAUUCCGAGUGUAGAGGUGAAAUUCGUAGAUAUUCGGAGGAACACCAGUGGCGAAGGCGGCUUACUGGUCUGCAACUGACGCUGAGGCGCGAAAGCGUGGGGAGCAAACAGGAUUAGAUACCCUUGUAGUC
This 441-nucleotide ribosomal RNA is filed under the name uncultured bacterium. RNAcentral describes it as "bacterial SSU rRNA". It matches the Rfam family "Bacterial small subunit ribosomal RNA", at positions 338 to 795 of the family's 1533-position model. The record is from RNAcentral.